CACGUAAGGUGCGAGCGUUGUUCGGAUUUAUUGGGCGUAAAGGGCAUGUAGGCGGCCCAGCAAGCCCGGGGUGAAACCGCGCAGCUUAACUGCGUGGCUGCCCCGGGAACUGCAGGGCUGGAGUCACCGAAGGGGAGCCGGAAUUCCAGGUGUAGGGGUGAAAUCUGUAGAUCUCUGGAAGAACACCGAUGGCGAAGGCAGGCUCCUGGCGGAUGACUGACGCUGAGGUGCGAAGGUGCGGGGAGCGAAC
This 250-nucleotide ribosomal RNA is filed under the name uncultured prokaryote. RNAcentral describes it as "partial 16S ribosomal RNA". It matches the Rfam family "Bacterial small subunit ribosomal RNA", at positions 524 to 773 of the family's 1533-position model. The record is from RNAcentral.